AAUUUAAAUUUAUUUUCCUAUAUAUAUAUUUAGUUGAUUAAUUAUUAUAUAAUAAGCAAAUAAGAUUAUUAUUGUUGAUGGAAUUGUCACUGAAUAAUUGUUUGGAUUGAUCUUAGUUUGAGUUAUUAUAUAUUUGUUUAUUUCUGAUAGGACAAAAUGUCAGAAAUAUAGGGGAAACUUUGUUCUUUUUUCGAAAUAAAUUUCUUAAAUUUAUUAUAGUUUAUUCCUUAUAACUGUUUAUUUAUAUGUUACAGGAGAAAGAUUUGGGUCGAAAGCCCAAUUAUUAUGAGUUACUUGUUCAAACUCAUGCUCGCGAUCAUGUCAAAGAAAGAUUUGUGUAUAAAAAGUCUAGGCAAAUAAAUGAAGCAUUAGUGGCUAAAAGUGAAGAGCUCCAAUGAACUACACUUUACACUAUCGAUGAGAAUCAAAUUUAUUUGGAUGUUGUUGAGGCUAGCCAGAAGAGACGGAUGGUGCAUGGGCCUGGAUCAGAAUCAUCUAUCAUUUACCCUUCACGAGCAUCUUCUUCUAGGGGGUCCUCAUCACAUGAUCCUCAAUCUGCUAUUUUACAACAAGAAGUAGAAAUUUGAAGAAGCAAUUUGAAGAAGCAACUUGAAGAAGAGAGGCAAAGAGGCAAGCAGAGAAACAAGCUAUUAUGGGGCAACUUGAAAAAGAGAGGCAACAGAGGCAAGCAAAGAAGCAAGUUCUCACGAAGCAAUUUGAGAUGCGUUUGGAAAACAUGAGACAAUCAAUGUUUGGAGAAGAUAAUGAGAUUAGUCAGAGGCCUACCAACUCCUCUACCUCCAACGUCGCCUCCACCUCCACUUAAUAAGGAUUGAUGGUUUUGUAUUUUAACUUUAACUUAUUAAACUUUAAUAUUUUUAUAUUACGGGAGUUUAUAUUUAUUUUAUAACAUGUAUGGAGUAUUAUUAUUAAUAAUAUUAUUGGAUUAUUA
This 952-nucleotide unclassified non-coding RNA is filed under the name Hevea brasiliensis (rubber tree). Lineage: Eukaryota; Viridiplantae; Streptophyta; Magnoliopsida; Malpighiales; Euphorbiaceae. The record is from RNAcentral.